Molecule: transfer RNA, 506 nt
Filed under: uncultured Alphaproteobacteria bacterium
Lineage: Bacteria; Pseudomonadati; Pseudomonadota; Alphaproteobacteria
Description: partial 16S-23S ribosomal RNA intergenic spacer
Rfam family: tRNA (bases 78-151)
Source: RNAcentral
CCUCCUUUUAUAAAUACAAAGUUAUUCUUUGUGAGUAUCUACACACAUUACUUGAUAUUAAAAAUAGAUAGAUAUCUGGGUCUGUAGCUCAGUUGGUUAGAGCGCACCCCUGAUAAGGGUGAGGUCGGUGGUUCAAAUCCACCCAGACCCACCAUUUAUUGCCUGCUUGAAUUAAUUAGUACGUUCACGUGUAUUAGCGUGUUUUACAAACAAAAAUAAUCCAGCCAGAACAAAAAUUGGUACAGCCCGAACCUGAAUACCCAAGAACAUUUGGGGCUAUAGCUCAGCUGGGAGAGCGCCUGCCUUGCACGCAGGAGGUCAGCGGUUCGAUCCCGCUUAGCUCCACCAAUUUAUCUAUCUAUAAAUGAUUAUUAUUUAAAAGUAGUUUUAUAAAGAUUAUUUUUAAAUGAGAAAUCAUUGCUCUUUAACAAAAUGGGAAAAACAAGGCAGAUUAUAUUGAUUGUGAUGAUCGAUAUAAUCGUAAAGAGAAGAGAAUAAUAUGUACA